Molecule: non-coding RNA, 6237 nt
Organism: Taeniopygia guttata (zebra finch)
Lineage: Eukaryota; Metazoa; Chordata; Aves; Passeriformes; Estrildidae
Source: RefSeq, a predicted model, not a curated record
UUAUUUCUCACAGGGCUUCCAAAGCAGCUGAGUCUAGGACCUUAAGGAAUGUCACGCAAUAGUUGCUGAACUAACUGACACUGAAAGGAUCAGAAAAAGAUGACAAUCCAUAUUUGAAAUAAACACGUGGACUCUCUGAUAAAAAAAAACAUGUCAAAAAAAGGACGGAGCAAGGGCGAAAAGCCUGAGGCACUGAUUGUUGCCCUACAGGCUGCCAAUGAGGAACUCAGGACUAAGCUAACAGACAUUCAAAUUGAGCUGCAUCAGGAGAAAUCUAAGGUUGCUAAACUCGAAAGAGAAAAGACUCAAGAAACGAAGCGUAUCCGCGAAGUGGAGCAACGCAAGCAGACCGUGCAGAUCACAGAGCUAAAAGCCAAACUUCAUGAGGAGAAAAUGAAGGAGCUGCAGGCUGUGAGGGAGAACCUCAUCAAGCAGCACGAGCAGGAGAUGACGAGAAUGGUGAAAGUCCGUGACAGUGAAAUCCAGCGCCUGAAGUCGGCACUGUGUGCACUGCGGGAUGGGAGCAGUGAUAAAGUACGGACAGCGCUGACUAUUGAGGCUCGGGAAGAGGCCAGGAAACAGUUUGACUCUGAGCGCCUUAAGCUUCUGCAGGAAAUUACUGAACUGAAGUCUGCCAAAAAGCAGGUAGAUGAGGCCCUUAACAAUAUGAUCCAGGCCGACAAGAUCAAGGCAGGCGAUCUUCGGAGUGAGCAUCAGUCCCACCAAGAGGCCAUUUCCAAGAUCAAAUGGGAGAGUGAAAGGGAUAUUCGACGCCUGAUGGAUGAGAUCAAGGCUAAAGACAGGAUCAUAUUUUCAUUGGAGAAAGAACUGGAGACACAGACAGGCUAUGUGCAGAAGCUGCAACUGCAAAAGGAAGCUCUGGAUGAACAGCUCUUUUUGGUGAAGGAGGCAGAGUGCAACAUGAGCAGUCCCAAGAGAGAGAUCCCAGGAAGAGCUGGCGAUGGUUCAGAGCACUGCAGCAGCCCUGACUUGCGCAGAAACCAGAAGAGGAUAGCAGAGCUGAAUGCCACCAUUCGGAAGCUGGAAGACCGGAACACGUUGCUUGUUGAUGAGCGAAAUGAACUGUUGAAGCGUGUCCGAGAAGCUGAGAAACAAUGUAAACCUCUUCUGGAAAAGAACAAGUGCCUCACGAAGAGAAAUGAUGAACUUAUGCAGUCUUUGCAGCGCAUGGAAGAUAAACUCAAAGCAGUCACUAAAGAAAAUAUAGAAAUGAGAGAAAAAAUAACAUCCCAUCCUCCUCUGAAGAAAUUAAGAUCUCUCAAUGACCUGGAUCAGGCUAAUGAGGAGCAAGAAACUGAAUUUUUAAAGCUUCAGGUUAUAGAACAGCAGAACAUAAUUGAUGAGUUAACAAGGGACAGGGAGAAACUUAUUCGUCGGAGAAAGCAUAAAAGGAGCUCAAAACCAAUCAAGAGACAUGUGGUGGAUACAGUUUUUGGGUAUGAUGAUGAUUCUAUGGAUUCUGAAACAUCCUCUGUGGCCUCAUAUAGAACAGACAGGACACCAGCAACCCCAGAUGAUGAUCUGGAUGAGGGUUUAGCAGCAGAAGAGUCAGAGCUGCGGUUUCGACAGCUGACAAAGGAGUACCAGGCCCUGCAGAGAGCGUAUGCACUGCUGCAGGAACAGACAGGAGGGGUCAUAGAUGCUGAAAGAGAAGCCAGGGCUCAGGAGCAGCUUCAAGCUGAGGUCCAGAGGUAUAAAGCCAAAAUAGAAGAUUUGGAGAAAACUUUGGCUCAGAAAGGGCAGGACUCACACUGGGUGGAAGACAAGCAGCUUUUCAUUAAGAGGAACCAAGAGCUUUUAGACAAGAUAGAGAAAACGGAAGCAGAAAACAACCGUCUGCACCAGGAGCUGCAGGAUGCGCGAGACCAGAAUGAGCUGCUGGAGUUCCGCAACCUUGAGCUGGAGGAAAGAGAGAGACGGUCCCCACCAUUUAAUCUCCAAAUUCACCCAUUCUCAGAUGGUGUGAGUGCUCUACAGAUCUACUGCAUGAAGGAAGGGGUUAAGGAUGUCAGCAUCCCAGACCUUAUAAAGCAGUUAGACAUCCUAGGUGAUAAUGGGAAUUUAAGGAAUGAAGAACAAGUGGCCAUAAUUCAGGCUUCCACGGUAUUGUCCUUGGCAGAAAAGUGGAUCCAGCAGAUUGAGGGAGCUGAAGCUGCUCUGCAUCAGAAGAUGAUGGAACUGGAAAGUGAUAUGGAGCAAUUUUGCAAAAUAAAAGGUUAUUUGGAGGAAGAAUUAGACUACAGAAAGCAAGCUCUUGACCAAGCGUACAUGAGGAUCCAGGAGCUUGAAGCCACCUUGUACAAUGCUUUGCAGCAAGAAACAGUGAUAAAGUUUGGGGAACUACUCACUGAAAAACAGCAGGAAGAGCUGAGGACAGCAGUAGAAAAGCUAAGACGUCAGAUGCUGAGGAAAAGCAGAGAGUAUGACUGCCAGAUUCUUCAGGAGAGGAUGGAGCUGCUCCAGCAGGCUCAUCAGAGGAUCCGAGAUUUAGAAGAUAAAACUGACAUCCAAAAGAGACAAAUUAAGGAUCUGGAGGAAAAGUUUCUAUUUCUGUUCUUGUUCUUCUCUCUUGCCUUUAUUCUUUGGCCUUGAUGUCAAUGUGCCUCUUGGAAAGAGGAUCUGCACUGCUGUGAACUCCCUUGAACUGUAAAGACAGCUGCAGCAGGCCCAGCAUCACAGCACGCAUGAUACCUGUAGAGUGUUUUACCAAGGCCAGUCACUCCACAGGUGCAAAGCAUCAAGUCUUGUAGCAGUUCCUCAAAAACAAGAGUGCCCGACCAUGCAGAUAAGUCCUUAUAAAGGCAAAUGCUUCCACCCCUCGAUGAAGAGAAUAUUGUUUACACCUAUUUUCAAAAGUAUAAAAAUGAACAGCCUGUAGUCAAGACUGCAACCAUCUUGUAUUUUAAAGCCAUCACUCAAAAUUUGUUACCUGACAAUUCCUGUCUAAAACUAUUAUAUAUGCUGCAUCUAAUGAAAUCCUGUAUGUUGAAAUUACAAAAGGGGAAGAAAAAUAAACAGACAACCUACAUCACCUAGGAAGAACGUAAAGGGAAGGAACCACUUUCAGCUGAUCAAGUCAGUGUGUCUUGGGCAUGGAACCAAAGUUACAAUAGAAAAAUCUAUUCCUGCUGUGCAGGGCAAUCAUUUAAAUGUCAUCUUGUCAUCUGACAAAUGGAUCAAAAAUUAGCAGAUCAGAGUAGGAGAAACUCAAGAGAUGCUGGCAACAAAGUGCUCAAUUUGAAGUGUGUGGCUUUCUUGCUGCAGGGACUCCUGCUCUCCCUCUUUGGUUUUAACCUCAGGAACAAAUGACAGCUGCAUUGUGGAAGAAAAAAAGGGAAAAAAAACCAGUCUGUGUUAUUGGAGGAUGGGCAGGACAGGUCACCAUGCUUUAUGCUUGAGAUUGUUACACAGCACCACCUGCCUUGGCCAAGGAAUGGAAGAAGAGGGUGAAUGGCAUAAGGAAGGUUUCCAGUGGAGUUGAAGCCAUAUCUCUCUUCACCAUCCCUCCAUGAAGAACAGCCUGUCUAUUAUCAGAUACUUUUCAUAUUCUUUAAAGACUGCCAUUGAGAUAAUAAUGACUGUACUUGGUUUUACUAUAAAGUAACCACUGAGGAUCACUGAAUUGGACCUACAGAGUAGCUUCUGAGAAAGAGAAGAAAUGUUGGAGGACAGGGCAGGGAGGAAUGCUAAUCCCCUAUCCAUGUGACAUGAUUGACAAAGCAUCAGCUUCCAACUGUUUUGUCCCAACUUGGAAAAAAUGUUUUGGUUCAGCUUGUUAUCUGACUUUGUUAUUUGGCUUCCUGAUCAAUGAUACACAGACCAAAAAUGGGGAAAAACAUUGUGAACACAACCUUAUUGCAAAUAAGAAAUAUUGCUAGUCUGUUUAGAUUUUCCACUGGUAAGAGUAACUAAAAUAGUUUUCAUUUGAAAGCAUUACUUACCUCUGUAAUCACGAAGCCUGGAACCCAGCUGUGUUGCCUCCCUGAGGUCAUAGGUCCAUGCACCCAGUACUUUGUCAGAAAUGCAGGUCCAUGAACCCUAGUACUCUUUCAGGAGAGUUUUCCUGUUACUAUACGACAUGAAAGAAGCACGAUGUGAGUCACUGCUAUUGCAAAGGUAAAAAAGAGGAAGUUUUAUUUCUGACUCUUAACAUUUGUACUUUCCUAAAGGUGACAGUGGAUUGGAAGGUGAGCAUACCACCUCUCCAACAAACUACUAGUACGUUAAACUUUCUCUGCCUCCACGAAGGAAUGUAAAACAAUAGGUUGUUUACAGAAAGUUGUGUGAGAAAGUUUUCUACAAGAAUGUAAACUCAGAAGGUUUUAGAAAAUCUUAAAAAUCAGGGUGACAUACUCCCUGAGAAGCAUAAUACCCGCAGCAAUCACUGUGAGGGUCCUGUGCUGAGGGAAGCAGUGCAGCCAGCUGCACCCACCCUCCCUUUCUCACUAAUGAGCUUGACAGCACACUUCUCAGUGCCUCUGGUUUCAUUUCCUGGGGAAUGGAGUCCUGCCUGUUCAGACUUUGUAUUCCUGUGGCAAGGCUCCGUCUUCUGUGAUGGAGCCUUAAUUUUAACUGGAAGAAAUGGAUUUCUGUACUAGAAAUUAGAAAAUUAAGGGCCAGAGUGCAGCUUGUGCAUUACUUACACUUUCAAAGCAGGGAUCACAUGUACCAACAUCUUACACACAUCAGAAGCUUUUAAAGAGCUUUUGAAGAGUUUUUUGAACAGCUUCUCCUUCAUAUGCGUGCAGGUAUUGCAUUCCCAAGGGUUCAGGGUGAAAUGGGGGCUGGUAGUCUGACUGCAGCAGACCUGGGUCUGCAAACUUUUCAAAGAUUGUUCUUCCCUCCAGGGAGCUGGGCGACCGCUGCUUUACUGUCCUUGCAGUGUAACACAUGCCAUGCCUAAAACACACAUGCUGAUGUGAGUUAAUACAAACUUUCUUCUAUCAGCUAGAUCAAAAUGAGUUUCAUGUCUGUGUGUGUAUAUAUAUAUAUAUAUAUAUAUAUAUAUAUAUAUACAUGUAUCUAUAUGUAUAUGUACAUAUAUAUACAUAUAUAUGCAUAUACUUAGCAAUUCCCUAUUGUAUAUAGAAAUUAUUGCUGUAGCUUACGAAAGUUACUUCAAUCUAGGCAUGGGGAACUGAAUUAAGAUUAUUUAGCUGCCACAGCUGGUACAUUGUUCCAGGUUUAGUUUCACAUCUUAUGGACAGCUAAUUUUUUAUUCUUUUUUUUCUGGACCCUUCGCUCUCCUUGGACUGUUAAUCCUGGGCUUUCUGCGGUUCCUGAUGUUCAUUGAAGGAAAGGAUUGAGAAUCCUGCCUCAGAUUAGUCACUGCAGCCAACCUCCCCUCCCCAAAACCAACAAGAAAAAUAAAGAUCAAUUUACUGCAGCCUUUGAGGACAGCAAAUACAGCCCUGGAUCCCUCCUGUGCAUCCAUUCAAGGCUGUUCAGGAGUAGCUGCACUCCAGGCUAUCCAUCCCGCCAAAGCAGGAGGUGAGCCUGGCCUGGGCAGUCCUCAUGGCAAGUCAAAUUGUGGUCAAGCUCAUUUGACUUGCUUUUUUUUCCCUCAAUGACCAGGUUAUGAGACUUUGAAGACUAUUUUUUUAAUGUAAGCACUUCAGAUGAGGGCCUGGUUAAGUGAGAUGUAUUUAGGCAAUUGGGGUUGCAGUAAGGAAAUGGUACUUGCAGUGUUACCAGCCUGGCUCACAGGUCCAUCCUCUCUUACUGAUGCGCCUGGAGGACAGUGGGGAAUUUUUUUUAGGUGUUGUUCAUCUUCCAACCGCCUACCGUUAUCUCAGUGGGAAGUAUCCUUGAAACGCAAAGCUUUCAGUUCUGUGGCAUCCCAUGAGGACUGCCCAGGCCAGGCUCUCCUGACGUGAGCAGGGCUCAGAGAACAAACUGCUGGUGAUCCAAAGGGUUUUCUCUUCCCCUGCCCUCUCUCACAUCAGCACCUCUGUGGUUUUAUAUAUACUUUUUGUUCCAGAUUUUUUUGGUGUCUAUUCCAGAACAAAACUGUCAAUUACUUGGCAGAAUGACCCUUUGAUAAACACUGGACAUGUACCUGUACUAUAUGUAUUAACGUGUAGGAGAGAAUCCUUAUUGUAUGUAAAGUUUUAUGAAUGGUUAUUUUUUAAUUUAUGUAUUUAAUAUAGGAUUCAAUGACCUCUGGUGUUUUAGUUUGUAUAAAAAAUAAAAGAGCAGCAUUUUUAAAAAAAUAAA